AUCAUGUUGACCUAAGGAUUGAUUUUAAUGAUAACAAGAUAUUGAGUGCAAAAGGUAGUAAUUGUAUUUUUCAAGAAUGAUUAUAGGGUUUCUUAAGUGCUCACAAAGAUACAUUAAGUCAAAGAAAAAAUCCUCUCAAAGAAGUUAAGCCAAAAGAGGUUUCAAGAUGAAUUUCAUAAGUUUGGAAGGCCACAUUAUGAAGAAAGCAAAGUAGAAGUGUGCUCACAA
This 228-nucleotide long non-coding RNA is filed under the name Elaeis guineensis (African oil palm). RNAcentral describes it as "long non-coding RNA (EGUI_LNC038504)". Lineage: Eukaryota; Viridiplantae; Streptophyta; Magnoliopsida; Arecales; Arecaceae. The record is from RNAcentral.